Molecule: transfer RNA, 83 nt
Filed under: Colletotrichum incanum
Lineage: Eukaryota; Fungi; Ascomycota; Sordariomycetes; Glomerellales; Glomerellaceae
Rfam family: tRNA
About the family: Transfer RNA (tRNA) molecules are approximately 80 nucleotides in length.
Source: Rfam by way of RNAcentral
GGCCGGUUGGCCCAAUGGCAAGGCGUCUGACUACGAUUCACCGUAUCAUCAGGAGAUUCUGGGUUCGACCCCCAGGCUGGUCA